CCUACGGGUGGCUGCAGUGGGGAAUAGUGGACAAUGGGGGGAACCCUGAUCCAGCCAUGCCGCGUGUGUGAAGAAGGCCCUCGGGUUGUAAAGCACUUUCAGUGAGGAAGAACGCCUGGUGGUUAAUACCCAUCAGGAAAGACAUCACUCACAGAAGAAGCACCGGCUAACUCCGUGCCAGCAGCCGCGGUAAUACGGAGGGUGCGAGCGUUAAUCGGAAUUACUGGGCGUAAAGCGCGCGUAGGUGGCUUGAUAAGCCGGUUGUGAAAGCCCCGGGCUCAACCUGGGAACGGCAUCCGGAACUGUCACGCUAGAGUGCAGGAGAGGAAGGUAGAAUUCCCGGUGUAGCGGUGAAAUGCGUAGAGAUCGGGAGGAAUACCAGUGGCGAAGGCGGCCUUCUGGACUGACACUGACACUGAGGUGCGAAAGCGUGGGUAGCAAACAGGAUUAGAUACCCCUGUAGUC
This 465-nucleotide ribosomal RNA is filed under the name Vreelandella stevensii. Its description in RNAcentral is "partial 16S ribosomal RNA". It matches the Rfam family "Bacterial small subunit ribosomal RNA", at positions 338 to 795 of the family's 1533-position model. Lineage: Bacteria; Pseudomonadati; Pseudomonadota; Gammaproteobacteria; Oceanospirillales; Halomonadaceae. The record is from RNAcentral.